Molecule: long non-coding RNA, 2646 nt
Organism: Haemorhous mexicanus (house finch)
Lineage: Eukaryota; Metazoa; Chordata; Aves; Passeriformes; Fringillidae
Exons: 3
Source: RefSeq, a predicted model, not a curated record
UACAGAGCUUUAAUCCACUGAAAUGUUACCCUGAGAGAAAGCAUCAAAAGAGGGCAUCCACUGUAGAGAAGGAUCAGUGAUAUUCUUCACUGAGGUGAUCAAUACAUAAAGAGCAUUAAGUGUGGAGUUGAAAGAAAUCUAAAUUACUAAAUGACCAAGGGGCUUGCAGAGAUUCCCAGAAGCUGUCUUUCAGGUCCCCACUGACUGGAUCCUACGCUGGAAAAAAGAUAAAUUUGGGGGAAAAAAUCCCUUGUGGAGGAGCAGUGAGACCAACAAAUGGAAAUGCCAUCAGGGCCUACGACUUCAUGGAUCUCUUCUCUAAACACAUAACCACCUUAUGGAAACAGGAAAAGUGGAGCAGAGCAGAAAAAUCCCCGCACUCAUGAAAGUGAACCUCCGGAUUUCAGCCAUCAACUUAACUGUAGGAUCUGCAAGCCAAAUAACACCACUCAAAAUUUGAUUCAUGGAAUGAUAUCCUUAUACAACCAUGGAAACAUUUUGACACUGUUUGUGAUGAGUGUGAAAUUCUACAGUUUAUGAGUUUCUACCCCUUUCACCCCACAGUUCCUCUUUACUCUAUCGUUGCCCUACUGUGUCAUGUGUAUUAUAAAAUAGAUAGAAAAAUAAUUGGAAAAUUAAGAAUUUGUCUGUGCACACUAUGUUGGAUGACAUCAAGAAGCAAUUUUCAGUGUAACUGAAUCAUUAUAGCUCUAUUAAUCUCUCUGUGUUCAAGGAUUUUGAAAAUGACAGGUCUUUAAGAAUUUCACAGCCACUUUUACACAUGUAAAUUACAGUUGUUUCUUGGUUUUUUUUACCAGGUUUAAAUAUCACAAACUCUCAAAGUUGCUAUCUCCCUCUGCUACUAGUUCUUCCAGAAAAACAUAAGUAAUUUUUCUUUCAUUUGUGGGUCUGAAAAUUCAACAUGAUAAACUAAUUUGAGAUCUUUGCUGCACUGUAUUUAUAAGCCCAUAUUUAUAUUUUUUACUAUGUGAUGAGACUGUUCAUUUGAUCCAAAUCCCUUUGAAGGCCCUAAGCCAAACUUUUAAGUGUUGAUGAGAACAUUUCCUGAUUGUAGGUAAGGAUCUUGUUUGCUAGGCUCUUUUUGCUGCCAGUUCAAAGACCUGACAAUGGUUCUUCUCCUUUUAAAAUUUUAGCAUGUGUCUACUUUUUAAUUAUCAUAGAAGAAACAGAAGACCCCAAAAUAAAUCAGGUUGUGUACAAUUAAGCCAUUGGGAGGAACUCGAAUUAAACCUUAAUGGGCAGUAAUGGUUUUCCUCAAUAUUUUAAAAAUAAUCAUUGCCCAGACACCAACAUAUGGAACACCUAACUUAUAAAACCUCUCACUUUUCAUCUUCUUAAAAGCUAUUACAGAAGAUGUCUUUCCUCAGAAUACCUAACACCAGUUUUUGACUGAUUGCAUUUAAUAUAUGAGGGGUCAUUUUCAUAUCUAGGACAAGAAAGCUUGGAUGUAAGUAUGAUCUUCAACAAACUAUAUGGAAUAUAUAGAUAUAUGGAAUUUAUUUACAUUAUGGAAGAAUUAUAUAAUAUAUCCAUAGACCUUUAUGCACUGAACCUUUUGUGUGCACGCAGAUACACGCUCUGAGUCUUUAAAAUCAGAGUUGAGCUAGAUGGAGUUGGACACCUUCUGUCAGGAAUUAUGAUGGCUAAGUAAGUUUCCUGGGACAAGACAAAGGGCAGAAGCCACAUGGAACAGAGGGAAUACUUAUUUGGAAAUCAUAAUGUGGAAAUUUACUUGAAGAGCACUUAGAACAAAUACAUCUUCUGAGAAGCUGCAGUGCUCUGGCUUUGCUUAAAUGCAAAAUUUUGCAGGGCAGUAAAGGGACAGAGAAAGAUGUGCUCAGUAAGUGCUGCCUCUUCACCCUGGGCUGAUUUGCCCACAGCCCCUGACACCUCUGAUCUGGUGGUGGGGCUAUUACACAAACAUUUCUUUGCUCCUGCAAAGUGAACAGGCCAGCCUUGCAAACCCCUUAUUCAGCAUCACAGCUGUGACAGCUGCCUUGACCAACUCUUCUCAGCAUGGGCUACUGAGGCACAGGGAGCUGAGCAUGCCUGAAGGGAGUGUUUCUAGGACAGCCUCGUGGUUUCAAGCUUCCUGCAGUGGUAUUGUAACCAAGCCACAUGUUUAAUGUGAGCCCAUCCACCAUAACAGUGGCUUUUCAAAAUUGUUUAUACCUCUGGUUUACACAACAUUCUGCAUCAGUGAGUAUCACCAUUUAUUCAGGCAUUGUGUGGGGAAAAAAAAAGUUUCUUUUCAUGUUUGGUUCUUGCUCAUUUAAUCCUGGUUAUAAAGGACUAUAAUACAGAUCUGAAACCGAUGCUGAAUGGGAGGCCAGCAACCUCUCUGAGAGACGAAGGACUGAAGGUGGUUGUCAUCACUAUUCCAGAGAGAUUCCCAAAGAGUAUUAGUUCAUCUCGUGAAUAUUUGAAGAAUACCAAUGUCCAUCCUAUUGAUCUUUAGUACUACAAAGAAGAUUAAUAAACCAAAGGGAAAAAAAAAGGAAAAUCUGCACAUGCUAUAGGCAUUCAAAGCCAGUUACAUAUAUCUAUCUGGUUAUCGUGGCCCAAGAGAUGAGGAUAUGAACUUAUACCAUGGGGUACAUCUGAAUAAAAUACCUGCUAGUGCAA